AGUGAACGCUGGCGGUAGGCCUAACACAUGCAAGUCGAACGGCAGCACAGUAAGAGCUUGCUCUUACGGGUGGCGAGUGGCGGACGGGUGAGGAAUACAUCGGAAUCUACUUUUUCGUGGGGGAUAACGUAGGGAAACUUACGCUAAUACCGCAUACGACCUACGGGUGAAAGCAGGGGAUCUUCGGACCUUGCGCGAUUGAAUGAGCCGAUGUCGGAUUAGCUAGUUGGCGGGGUAAAGGCCCACCAAGGCGACGAUCCGUAGCUGGUCUGAGAGGAUGAUCAGCCACACUGGAACUGAGACACGGUCCAGACUCCUACGGGAGGCAGCAGUGGGGAAUAUUGGACAAAGGGCGCAAGCCUGAUCCAGCCAUACCGCGUGGGUGAAGAAGGCCUUCGGGUUGUAAAGCCCUUUUGUUGGGAAAGAAAAGCAGCAGGUUAAUACCCCGCUGUUCUGACGGUACCCUAAGAAUAAGCACCGGCUAACUUCGUG
This 492-nucleotide ribosomal RNA is filed under the name uncultured bacterium. RNAcentral's name for it is "partial 16S ribosomal RNA". It matches the Rfam family "Bacterial small subunit ribosomal RNA", at positions 29 to 507 of the family's 1533-position model. The record is from RNAcentral.